Molecule: ribosomal RNA, 477 nt
Filed under: uncultured bacterium
Lineage: Bacteria
Description: partial 16S ribosomal RNA
Rfam family: Bacterial small subunit ribosomal RNA
Source: RNAcentral
GAUAAACGCUGGCGGCGUGCAUAACACAUGCAAGUCGAACGAUGAAGAUUAAAAGAUUUCUUCGGAAUGAACUUAAUUGGAUUAGUGGCGGACGGGUGAGUAACGCGUGAGUAACCUGCCUUGUACAAGGGGAUAGCCGUUGGAAACGACGAAUAAUACCCUAUGACAUCAAAUAAUCGCAUGAUAAUUUGAUCAAAGAUUUAUCGGUAUAAGAUGGACUCGCGUCUGAUUAGCUAGUUGGUAGAGUAAAGGCCUACCAAGGCAACGAUCAGUAGCCGGCUUGAGAGAGUGUACGGCCACAUUGGGACUGAGACACGGCCCAGACUCCUACGGGAGGCAGCAGUGGGGAAUUUUGCACAAUGGGGGAAACCCUGAUGCAGCGACGCCGCGUGAUUUAGAAGGCCUUCGGGUUGUAAAAAUCUUUUGUAUGGGAAGAAAAUGACAGUACCAUACGAAUAAGGACCGGCUAAUUACGUG